UACGAAGGGGGCGAGCGUUGUUCGGAAUUACUGGGCGUAAAGGGCGCGCAGGCGGCUCUGAAAGUCAGAUGUGAAAGCCCCGGGCUUAACCUGGGAACUGCAUUUGAUACUCUAGAGCUUGAGUACGGGAGAGGAGAGUGGAAUUCCCAGUGUAGAGGUGAAAUUCGUAGAUAUUGGGAAGAACACCGGUGGCGAAGGCGGCUCACUGGCUCGUAACUGACGCUCAGGCGCGACAGCGUGGGGAGCAAACAGG
RNAcentral lists this ribosomal RNA (253 nucleotides) under uncultured bacterium. RNAcentral describes it as "partial 16S ribosomal RNA". It matches the Rfam family "Bacterial small subunit ribosomal RNA", at positions 524 to 776 of the family's 1533-position model. The record is from RNAcentral.